This is a long non-coding RNA of Cygnus olor (mute swan), 2771 nucleotides long. RefSeq lists it as uncharacterized. NCBI's taxonomy places the organism in Eukaryota, Metazoa, Chordata, Aves, Anseriformes, Anatidae. The transcript is spliced from 3 exons. The record is from RefSeq and is a predicted model, not a curated record.
ACCUUAUAAAAAUGUGAGGUUACGCCGGAGGCAGACCAGAACACGGCUUCAGCCUACUUGAAGACACCUCCUAACUUGUUGUAAGGAUGAAGCUCCUGGCACUCUAUGGCUUUUUGUUUGUCUUACUUUUGUGCCUCAAUGCCUUUACUGCAGAAGGUCGGAAGGUUAAAAAAGUCUGCUGUUCAAAACUAGCCAAAGUCAACAAAAAGGCAAAUAAAGGUAUGCCUUCCAAGAUGGCUCCAAUGCAAAUAAAAAAAUACUGCAAGCCUUGUGCUCAGCCAGACCCUCUGCGGAUUCCUGGACCCCUUCCGCAGUUAAAAUAAGACUGAGCAGGGUGAAGAAGAGCAUCUGUCUGCCAGCACAUCUCACAGCGCUUCACUUGGUUGGGGGUCUUCCUUUCACAGAUAGGGCCUGAAUGUAUGCUACUCUUAUUUUAGUCGGGAAGGGCUUCAGUCAGUAACGCUUACUCAGUCCCCCAGGCUCCUUCAUCUUGUUAACAUUAACCUGGCAUCUAAAGAGCCAGGUAAAGUUGUCUGGCUGCUACCGGAUUUUUUCAGUUGCACGUUCCUCUGUACCAAACAGGGAUUUAGCUCCUCAAACAAGACAGAGGAGAGCUGGCUGUAUCACUUUGGAUUGCAUUUUUAGAUGGGGAAGGGUUGAAGUUACUGUUUCUAGUUAUCAGUAUAUAUAUAUUUAACCUUUUAUAUGAAUAACUUCUUUUAUAUAGACAAAUGGAUUUUCUUUGUAGCUAGGCACAUGAUGAAUUUGUUCCUUGCUCUCAGUGCUUAAAAUCCACUUGGAAGUGGAUUUCUAUCAAGUGAGAAUGAACUUAUGAUUUAGAAAGGGCUGAGAAACUAGAUUCAAAUAGUUGGGAAGGACCAGAGGACCAGAUUCAAGUACAGUGGCAAGCUUUUUAAUGUCUGGGGUGGGGGGCAAACUACACCUAUUCUUUAACUUCCCAGAAGAAUGUCAUCAGGUGGUUAUUAAAAGGCAUACUGGAAAGGUGUAAGGCUAGUCAGAUUAUUUUUUUUUCCUCCUGAAUCCAGAAGGCAAUUGUUCUUUCAAGGCACUUGAGUUGUGAUCACCUCAAUAAACAAAACUCACUGGAGUAUGAAAUUAAACAAAUGUUAAGAAUUAAUAUCAAAGGACUGAAUAAAAGAGAAACAGAAAUGCUCCCUGCUAAUAUCAUUAGCAGUUACUGGGGUCUUUUCUCCGGUAUCUCCUGUCCUUUUUCUAGCUGUCUCCUGCAUAUGCUGCUAUUUCUAUGCCCGGGGUGAGUCCUUAACCCAGGAUUAAUUGGAGGUUUAUGAAUUUGGCUUUCCUUCUAAUGAAUGUGACAAGGUUUGGAAAGCUUUUUCUGCUCUUGGGCAAAUAUCACUUUGAAAAUAGUAAUUUUACCCUCAAUACUCAGAGUAAUGCUAUUUCCCUAAGGUAAUUUCCUGUAUGAUAAAGAUGGUCUCAGUGCCCUUUAGUAAUCUGGGGGAGUUGAAUGGGGAUGGUCGUAUGCCUGUUGUAACCACCUUCAGGCAAAUCUGUUUCCCAUGAGUCAAAUUAAUGGGCACUUAUAUAUGGCUGUGCUUUCUCAUUGUCAGUGUUUCUAUUGUACUGAACAAUUGAAGUAAUUUCUGGGUCUCCUAUGUGCUUGUUAUUACUUUAUUUUCUUACUGCUCAUGUGAUUAGAUAGAUCUGACCCUCAACUUCCUAGUUUUGAGCUGACCAUGCAUAGCAUUUUCAUACCAAGGAUAAAAAGGAUCCUCCAAUCCUCACAAGAUCUGAGCCAAGAGGUUGGUGAAUGAGCUGUUUGAUAAUUCUGCUGCUGAUCGCUGGGCAAACAUUUAUUUUUGUCUUUUGUAGCUCACAGAAAGUAUCUCAGGAAUAUGAACGAUGAGUAGAUGUGAAAAGUAUUUUGGAUAUUAAAUGUUUGCAGCAGGAGUUUAUACAGAGUUGUAAACACAUGGCCAUAUCUUACAAAGCAUUACUAAGAGGUAUGAGGAUUCUGGUCUUUAACAUGAGCUUAAGCCCAUUUGUUUUACAUUUAAAAAAUGCUAUAACAUUAUCUUGGCCCCGCACCCUCCAAACAGUGUGCUCCACACUCUGAUCUUCCUUCAGGCAAAAAGUUCUCCGACAGCAAAAUCAUAAAGUCCCAAAGGCCAUCAACACUAUUACAGAAAUACUUUGCCUUUGGAGGGAUGCAGGGACAUCAUCCUACGUACUUGAAUAUUUUUAUUCACCUAGUUUCUCAAACUAGCCUCAAGGUAAGGUUGAGGGCUAUUCAAAUUUAAAAAGUAAGGUACUUCUGUGCGGUCCUAGUCCUGACUGAACAAACUAAAGCGGGAUUCCUCAAGCUAUUUCACCACUCAUUGUGACUGUUGCCCAAACAGGCUCUUUGUCUGGCCUACAAGUAUCAGGAGGUCAUGCAUCAGCCUCCUGCAGGUGCUUCCUCACCAAACUUGGACUUUUAUUUCCUGAACUAUUUUCCCUGUGUGGUAGAACAGGGCUACCAUCUGAUCAUGGCUUUGUUUACAGGCACCUGUUCUUCAUUUUGCUUUUCUUUCACUACUAUGUAUAUUUGUUUGGUAUUACCAGAGGAGAAACAUAUUACUCAGUGGCUUUUCAAAGUACACAAGCUGUAUGCUUACAUCAAGUAGUAAAUUCAGCUUGUCCAAGCUGACAAAUGCAUUUAUCUGUAUCUUGUGGUUUUCUGUGUUUGUUUGGCUGUCAAGCAUGAAAAUUGCACAGCCUUCAAGUUCCAAUAAAGAUAUUUUGAUGUA